CCCAAAAGUUCGRRRGGAGAGAMMMMKCGUCAGMGANCCUGGCAAUUGUGCGGUUCGCGAUGCCGGGUACUUCGGUCCCGUGGCACGCGUCCGUAUGAUUUAUUUGCCGGGUGUCGUCGUCGUGCACUUCUCCCCUAGUAGGACGUCGCGACCCGUUGGGUGUCGGUCUACGACCCGGGUGGGUGCCUGUCAUGUGUGACGCUUCACGGCGUCAUGUGGCAGACCCCCGGUUGUCUGACCAGCUGCCCGGCGGUACUCGCACGGUAUUGAGUCGCAAAUUGAAUUGCGUCCGGCCCGCCGCAAGCGAGGCCAGUGCUUCCCGGAUGUACGGACUUAGCGCCGUCGCCGGGCCUGGCCAGCUGUUGGCUGGCGGUGUCCUGGGACUGGCUCUAAAAAUACCGA
This 402-nucleotide ribosomal RNA is filed under the name Rhimphoctona sp. DLJQ-2008. RNAcentral describes it as "partial 28S ribosomal RNA". The record is from RNAcentral. Lineage: Eukaryota; Metazoa; Arthropoda; Insecta; Hymenoptera; Ichneumonidae.